GGAUACAUACAAUACUAUAUCAUAUGUUAACAAACCCUAAACCAAUGACUCAUGAGCCAAUAUACACGUGGCAGGAGCAGAGUCAGUCAAAUCGUCUGCAGGUACAUAAACUGCUUGAAUAGAGGUUAUUUACAAAUUUAUUUUCCAAAAAUUUUUAAUUUCAUUCACUCAUCUAUGUUGAAAAUAAUUCAAUUUCAGUUGAACUAAAUUUAAAUCAUCGAAAAAUAUUUAUUAUUACAUGAUUUCAAUUUUUUACCCAUCAAAAUAUUUUUAUAAAAUUAUAAAAUUAUUUUUAAGAUCUACUGAACUAGAAGCCUUACAAAGAAGUCAUCCUAGAGAAGAUAUUGUUAAUAUCUAUCUAUCUAUCUAUCUAUCUAUCUAUCUAUCUAUCUAUCUAUCUAUCUAUCUAUCUAUCUAUCUAUCUAUCUAUCUAUCUAUCUAUCUAUCUAUCUAUCUAUCUAUCUAUCUAUCUAUCUAUCUAUCUAUCUAUCUAUCUAUCUAUAUAUUACUAUAAAGUAGUGUUUGCUUCACUCUAAUGAAACCUCAUCAGAUUCCAGCUAGAUAAGUCAAGUCUUCUGGUCGUGACACGUGUCCCGCUUUUCCCGAAACACAUCACUUCAUUUAUUCAGAAUUCGGAUGGGCUUAGCAAUCGAGUGGGCUUUUGUUAUAAAGCGUAUAUCUUCAGGGUUUUGGGCUAAUAAUUUUGUAUGUGGUAGGCAGCCCCAUGGCCUGUUAUCGGGAACCCUAAUGCAAAAACAUCAGUCUUCAUCUUCAACCAUUUCUAGGGUUCUUAACGUUUUGCAACUUCUGAUUUUUAAAACCGACCAUGGCGUUUCGACUGGGUUACGGGAACCUAUUAAUCACGCCAGUAUCUGGUCUAAUCCUUCGUUCAUAUCGAUUCCGCUGGAGUUCUUAGCACCGGCAAUGGGAAACCUGAACCGUUACGGACUGUUCAAUCGUCAUCAUUAGCGACCUUCUUAUUCCUUCUCUCUCCCCCCCCCCACCCACUCCUUCUACAAUUUCUCAUUCACUGCAUCAUCUCUGCUCCCGGUGAAUAUGCAUCCGGAAGAACACACUAAAAUAAGAGGUAAACAUUGAUUGGUAGCAUACUCGAUCAAACGAGUUAUCUUUUCGGCUACUACGAUAGAGAUAAGUUUUGAUACCGUAAACUUGAUCCUUUCAUCCUUCCCAAUCAUAAUAACUCUUACAACUUUCUUUGAGCAUAAUGGCGAACUCCUCUCUCCUCCUUUCUGACUUGAAGGUCGGGCAUUCAAGCAGCUUUUUGAUUACCAUGGUGUUCAGCCAUUGAAUUUUGUUUUCAUUAAUGGAUCUGAACUGCGGCAGUAGAAUCUUCUUUUGGCUGUGUAAAAAUCACACCUCCAAGCUAAGGAAGACAAAUGACUGAAAACAGCAGGACGAGAAUGCAAUUGAAAAUGAGGCGCCUCCUCCUCCACUCCCAAAACCUUUUUGCAAAACCUUGACCUUUCGGACACAAGUACACAUGAUCUCCGGUCAAUCACCUAUCAAGGGUUGGUUGCAAAGGUUUUGCUUGCCAAUGAGUGACGUUCCAUACAUAUUUCAAUGGUGAGCCACGAAGCUGUUUGCUUCAUAGUGGAUGGAGCAUGUUUGUUUCGUUGAUGUGAAGUAUCUAAUUCUUCUACAGAGGCGAGAAUGUGGAAUUACGUGAGAGGUGUAAGGCCACAUAGAGUCUUUGAUGAAUAAUACUCCAUAAACAUGAGAUUUAAAUGAGAGGUAAUGCGGUUUUGAAUUACUAAAUCCACCUAAGAGGACAAAUUACGUUGGUAUUGUUGAGCUUGAAGGUGAUGGUCUCAAUUGGUAUAAGGUGGAAUUGGCCAACCGUGAAUUAUAAUUUUAGGAAUUAAGGGCAGAUUCCUUGCUUGGUAUGCACCAGGUCAAGAGUCAGUUGUUUCAGAAGAGAUCGUGAAGAAUGCACCAGUUCCUGCGAUUUUUUAUGAGAACUCUGUUGACCGUGUUGUGUUGAUUGUGGAGGUUAAAUAAGAGGCACUUCCUCAGAUUCUUUUUUCUUCAUCAGAAGCCUUGAUAAGAAGGAACCCGUUCCUGAGAUGAUUCCAAUGGCAGCUUAGUGAUGCCCUUUACCAGAAGCAUUAGAAACAGUUGAAUCACUUGAAAAGUAUUAAAGAGGACGAAUUAAGUAAGAGGGAAGACUCAAUGCAGAAAAAUGUAUCAACAGAUCAGUUGCAGUCACCAAUUUAUAUUAAAGUGAACAGGGGAGGAGCUUGAUAUUUUUGUAAACCAUGGAGGCUCUAUCAUGGAGAAUCAGGAUGGUCUCUCAAGUGGCAUAUGGAGUUAGCUACACAGUGUCUUUAUAAUUAAUCCAACUCUCAGAACAGAUUUUUUUUAUCAAUCUCAAAUUUUUUGUUAUGCAGUUUUCUCUGUUUUUCAAUAAAUGUUAAGAGCUCUGCAAAUCUUUCAAGAA
This is a long non-coding RNA of Brassica napus (rape), 2458 nucleotides long. RefSeq lists it as uncharacterized. NCBI's taxonomy places the organism in Eukaryota, Viridiplantae, Streptophyta, Magnoliopsida, Brassicales, Brassicaceae. The transcript has 5 exons. The record is from RefSeq and is a predicted model, not a curated record.